UGGGGAAUAUUGCACAAUGGGCGCAAGCCUGAUGCAGCCAUGCCGCGUGUAUGAAGAAGGCCUUCGGGUUGUAAAGUACUUUCAGCGGGGAGGAGGGGAGUAAAGUUAAUACCUUUACUCAUUGACGUUACCCGCAGAAGAAGCACCGGCUAACUCCGUGCCAGCAGCCGCGGUAAUACGGAGGGUGCAAGCGUUAAUCGGAAUUACUGGGCGUAAAGCGCACGCAGGCGGUUUGUUAAGUCAGAUGUGAAAUCCCCGGGCUCAACCUGGGAACUGCAUCUGAUACUGGCAAGCUUGAGUCUCGUAGAGGGGGGUAGAAUUCCAGGUGUAGCGGUGAAAUGCGUAGAGAUCUGGAGGAAUACCGGUGGCGAAGGCGGCCCCCUGGACGAAGACUGACGCUCAGGUGCGAAAGCGUGGGGAGCAAACAGG
RNAcentral lists this ribosomal RNA (429 nucleotides) under Chloroflexota bacterium. RNAcentral's name for it is "Chloroflexi bacterium partial 16S ribosomal RNA". It matches the Rfam family "Bacterial small subunit ribosomal RNA", at positions 355 to 776 of the family's 1533-position model. Lineage: Bacteria; Bacillati; Chloroflexota. The record is from RNAcentral.